This 497-nucleotide ribosomal RNA is filed under the name uncultured bacterium. RNAcentral describes it as "partial 16S ribosomal RNA". It matches the Rfam family "Bacterial small subunit ribosomal RNA", at positions 28 to 507 of the family's 1533-position model. The record is from RNAcentral.
GAUGAACGCUGGCGGCGUGCCUAAUACAUGCCAGUCGAGCGAACAGACGAGAAGCUUGCUCCUUUGACGUUAGCGGCGGACGGGUGAGUAACACGUAGGUAACCUACUUAUAAGACUUGGAUAACUUCGGGAAACCGGUGCCACUACUGGCUAAUACUUCGAACCGCAUGGUUCGAUAGUGAAACAUGGCUUUGCUAUCACUUAUAGAUGGACCUGCGCCGUAUUAGCUAGUUGGUAAGGUAACGGCUUACCAAGGCAACGAUACGUAGCCGACCUGAGAGGGUGAUCGGCCACACUGGAACUGAGACACGGUCCAGACUCCUACGGGAGGCAGCAGUAGGGAAUCUUCCGCAAUGGGCGAAAGCCUGACGGAGCAACGCCGCGUGAGUGAUGAAGGUCUUCGGAUCGUAAAACUCUGUUAUUAGGGAAGAACAAACGUGUAAGUAACUGUGCACGUCUUGACGGUACCUAAUCAGAAAGCCACGGCUAACUACGUG